UACGGGGGGGGCAAGCGUUGUUCGGAAUUACUGGGCGUAAAGGGCUCGUAGGCUGCCAACUAAGUCAGACGUGAAAUCCCUCGGCUUAACCGGGGAACUGCGUCUGAUACUGGAUGGCUUGAGAUUGGGAGAGGGAUGCGGAAUUCCAGGUGUAGCGGUGAAAUGCGUAGAUAUCUGGAGGAACACCGGCGGCGAAGGCGGCGUUCUGGACUGCAACUGACACUGAGGAACGAAAGCCAGGGGAGCAAACGGG
Molecule: ribosomal RNA, 253 nt
Filed under: uncultured bacterium
Lineage: Bacteria
Description: partial 16S ribosomal RNA
Rfam family: Bacterial small subunit ribosomal RNA
Source: RNAcentral